RNAcentral lists this ribosomal RNA (1496 nucleotides) under Staphylococcus aureus. RNAcentral's name for it is "bacterial SSU rRNA". It matches the Rfam family "Bacterial small subunit ribosomal RNA". Lineage: Bacteria; Bacillati; Bacillota; Bacilli; Caryophanales; Staphylococcaceae. The record is from RNAcentral.
GAAGCUUGCUUCUCUGAUGUUAGCGGCGGACGGGUGAGUAACACGUGGAUAACCUACCUAUAAGACUGGGAUAACUUCGGGAAACCGGAGCUAAUACCGGAUAAUAUUUUGAACCGCAUGGUUCAAAAGUGAAAGACGGUCUUGCUGUCACUUAUAGAUGGAUCCGCGCUGCAUUAGCUAGUUGGUAAGGUAACGGCUUACCAAGGCAACGAUGCAUAGCCGACCUGAGAGGGUGAUCGGCCACACUGGAACUGAGACACGGUCCAGACUCCUACGGGAGGCAGCAGUAGGGAAUCUUCCGCAAUGGGCGAAAGCCUGACGGAGCAACGCCGCGUGAGUGAUGAAGGUCUUCGGAUCGUAAAACUCUGUUAUUAGGGAAGAACAUAUGUGUAAGUAACUGUGCACAUCUUGACGGUACCUAAUCAGAAAGCCACGGCUAACUACGUGCCAGCAGCCGCGGUAAUACGUAGGUGGCAAGCGUUAUCCGGAAUUAUUGGGCGUAAAGCGCGCGUAGGCGGUUUUUUAAGUCUGAUGUGAAAGCCCACGGCUCAACCGUGGAGGGUCAUUGGAAACUGGAAAACUUGAGUGCAGAAGAGGAAAGUGGAAUUCCAUGUGUAGCGGUGAAAUGCGCAGAGAUAUGGAGGAACACCAGUGGCGAAGGCGACUUUCUGGUCUGUAACUGACGCUGAUGUGCGAAAGCGUGGGGAUCAAACAGGAUUAGAUACCCUGGUAGUCCACGCCGUAAACGAUGAGUGCUAAGUGUUAGGGGGUUUCCGCCCCUUAGUGCUGCAGCUAACGCAUUAAGCACUCCGCCUGGGGAGUACGACCGCAAGGUUGAAACUCAAAGGAAUUGACGGGGACCCGCACAAGCGGUGGAGCAUGUGGUUUAAUUCGAAGCAACGCGAAGAACCUUACCAAAUCUUGACAUCCUUUGACAACUCUAGAGAUAGAGCNNNNNNNNNNNNNNNNNNNNNNNNNNNUUCCCCUUCGGGGGACAAAGUGACAGGUGGUGCAUGGUUGUCGUCAGCUCGUGUCGUGAGAUGUUGGGUUAAGUCCCGCAACGAGCGCAACCCUUAAGCUUAGUUGCCAUCAUUAAGUUGGGCACUCUAAGUUGACUGCCGGUGACAAACCGGAGGAAGGUGGGGAUGACGUCAAAUCAUCAUGCCCCUUAUGAUUUGGGCUACACACGUGCUACAAUGGACAAUACAAAGGGCAGCGAAACCGUGAGGUCAAGCAAAUCCCAUAAAGUUGUUCUCAGUUCGGAUUGUAGUCUGCAACUCGACUACAUGAAGCUGGAAUCGCUAGUAAUCGUAGAUCAGCAUGCUACGGUGAAUACGUUCCCGGGUCUUGUACACACCGCCCGUCACACCACGAGAGUUUGUAACACCCGAAGCCGGUGGAGUAACCUUUUAGGAGCUAGCCGUCGAAGGUGGGACAAAUGAUUGGGGUGAAGUCGUAACAAGGUAGCCGUAUCGGAAGGUGCGGCUGGAUCACCU